RNAcentral lists this ribosomal RNA (723 nucleotides) under Actinomycetes bacterium. Its description in RNAcentral is "bacterial SSU rRNA". It matches the Rfam family "Bacterial small subunit ribosomal RNA", at positions 137 to 872 of the family's 1533-position model. Lineage: Bacteria; Bacillati; Actinomycetota; Actinomycetes. The record is from RNAcentral.
UCUGGGACAAGCCCUGGAAACGGGGUCUAAUACCGGAUACGACUAUCGAGGGCAUCCUUGGUGGUGGAAAGCUCCGGCGGUGAAGGAUGAGCCCGCGGCCUAUCAGCUUGUUGGUGGGGUGAUGGCCUACCAAGGCGACGACGGGUAGCCGGCCUGAGAGGGCGACCGGCCACACUGGGACUGAGACACGGCCCAGACUCCUACGGGAGGCAGCAGUGGGGAAUAUUGCACAAUGGGCGAAAGCCUGAUGCAGCGACGCCGCGUGAGGGAUGACGGCCUUCGGGUUGUAAACCUCUUUCAGCAGGGAAGAAGCGCAAGUGACGGUACCUGCAGAAGAAGCGCCGGCUAACUACGUGCCAGCAGCCGCGGUAAUACGUAGGGCGCAAGCGUUGUCCGGAAUUAUUGGGCGUAAAGAGCUCGUAGGCGGCUUGUCACGUCGGAUGUGAAAGCCCGGGGCUUAACCCCGGGUCUGCAUUCGAUACGGGCUAGCUAGAGUGUGGUAGGGGAGAUCGGAAUUCCUGGUGUAGCGGUGAAAUGCGCAGAUAUCAGGAGGAACACCGGUGGCGAAGGCGGAUCUCUGGGCCAUUACUGACGCUGAGGAGCGAAAGCGUGGGGAGCGAACAGGAUUAGAUACCCUGGUAGUCCACGCCGUAAACGUUGGGAACUAGGUGUUGGCGACAUUCCACGUCGUCGGUGCCGCAGCUAACGCAUUAAGUUCCCCGC